UCUCCGUCGGUGAACCAGCGGAGGGAUCAUUACCGAGUUUACAACUCCCAAACCCAAUGUGAACCAUACCAAACUGUUGCCUCGGCGGGGUCACGCCCCGGGUGCGUCGCAGCCCCGGAACCAGGCGCCCGCCGGAGGGACCAACCAAACUCUUUCUGUAGUCCCCUCGCGGACGUUAUUUUUACAGCUCUGAGCAAAAAUUCAAAAUGAAUCAAAACUUUCAACAACGGAUCUCUUGGUUCUG
This 244-nucleotide unclassified non-coding RNA is filed under the name plant metagenome. RNAcentral's name for it is "partial contains small subunit ribosomal RNA, internal transcribed spacer 1, and 5.8S ribosomal RNA". The record is from RNAcentral.